GAUGAACGCUGGCGGCGUGCCUAAUACAUGCAAGUCGAGCGAACAGAUGAGGAGCUUGCUCCUCUGACGUUAGCGGCGGACGGGUGAGUAACACGUGGAUACCCUCCCUAUAAGACUGGGAUAACUUCGGGAAACCGGAGCUAAUACCGGAUAAUAUAUUGAACCGCAUGGUUCAAUAGUGAAAGACGGUUUUGCUGUCACUUAUAGAUGGAUCCGCGCCGCAUUAGCUAGUUGGUAAGGUAACGGCUUACCAAGGCAACGAUGCGUAGCCGACCUGAGAGGGUGAUCGGCCACACUGGAACUGAGACACGGUCCAGACUCCUACGGGAGGCAGCAGUAGGGAAUCUUCCGCAAUGGGCGAAAGCCUGACGGAGCAACGCCGCGUGAGUGAUGAAGGUCUUCGGAUCGUAAAACUCUGUUAGUAGGGAAGAACAAAUGUGUAAGUAACUAUGCACGUCUUGACGGUACCUAAUCAGAAAGCCACGGCUAACUACGUG
RNAcentral lists this ribosomal RNA (497 nucleotides) under uncultured bacterium. RNAcentral's name for it is "partial 16S ribosomal RNA". It matches the Rfam family "Bacterial small subunit ribosomal RNA", at positions 28 to 507 of the family's 1533-position model. The record is from RNAcentral.